RNAcentral lists this long non-coding RNA (773 nucleotides) under Brassica napus (rape). RNAcentral's name for it is "long non-coding RNA (BNAP_LNC019706)". Lineage: Eukaryota; Viridiplantae; Streptophyta; Magnoliopsida; Brassicales; Brassicaceae. The record is from RNAcentral.
AGGUUGUUGUGAUCUGCCAUUUUGUUGUAAAGUGUGAGAGAUAAUUUUAUUUUUUGCCUUGCGUUUGCUAAUUUUAUAGUGGAACAAUGUUUUGAAUUUUUUUUUUUGAACGUAUGAUUGUGAAUUUAAUGUGCCCUUCUAACUUAUGAAGAUUAAAGCGUUUGAUUAAUUGCAUAAUUAUAGGGAUUUGUUUUAAGAAUAUCUAUGAUUUAUAAGUAAAUGUAUGUUUUUUAUUAACUUAAUUGCUAACGUUAUGUUGUUGAUUAAUCUAUAAUAAUAUUGUAGACAUUUUUUUCUAGGUGCUGAGUUAUUAUUUUUGAUGCUAGUAGAUUAUGUUGUAUUUUUUGUCGUAUUUCUCCCUGUGUUAUUUAUGUUAAGAGAAUAUUUGGAAAGAUGAUAGCAAUGAAUGAUUUUGUAUUUAAUAUGAUUAUCUUUUUCCUUGGUUUGAUUUUGAGGACUUCAUUUGAGUUUGAAAGAUAUAUUAAAAGAUAUAUUUUGAGGAGGAAGUAGGCCAUACUUUGUUUAUGAUGCACCCGGAAAAAGCUUCAGGACCAGACGGGAUGACAACUCUUUUCUUCAAACACUCUUGGCAUAUUAUCAAAAAAGAACAGGUGCAUCAUAAACAAAGCCUGACUAAAACUGAAACAUAAACCCAAAAAAAAAAACAAGAAUGAUAGAAGUAGAUGGGCUCGACUCUAAAGCUCCCAUCAAAUGAAGUCAAUAAACUUCAUCACUUGCUUGUAGUGAAAGCAACGAUUGCACCGAUUAUCCAU